This 447-nucleotide ribosomal RNA is filed under the name uncultured bacterium. Its description in RNAcentral is "bacterial SSU rRNA". It matches the Rfam family "Bacterial small subunit ribosomal RNA", at positions 329 to 793 of the family's 1533-position model. The record is from RNAcentral.
CCCCAGACUCCUACGGGAGGCAGCAGUGGGGAAUAUUGCACAAUGGGGGAAACCCUGAUGCAGCGACGCCGCGUGAGCGAUGAAGUAUUUCGGUAUGUAAAGCUCUAUCAGCAGGGAAGAAAAUGACGGUACCUGACUAAGAAGCCCCGGCUAACUACGUGCCAGCAGCCGCGGUAAUGCGUAGGGGGCAAGCGUUAUCCGGAUUUACUGGGUGUAAAGGGAGCGUAGACGGCGAUGCAAGCCAGAUGUGAAAGCCCGGGGCUCAACCCCGGGACUGCAUUUGGAACUGUAUAGCUGGAGUGUCGGAGAGGCAGGCGGAAUUCCUAGUGUAGCGGUGAAAUGCGUAGAUAUUAGGAGGAACACCAGUGGCGAAGGCGGCCUGCUGGACGAUGACUGACGUUGAGGCUCGAAAGCGUGGGGAGCAAACAGGAUUAGAUACCCCGGUAC